Lepisosteus oculatus (spotted gar) is the source of this 307-nucleotide long non-coding RNA. RefSeq lists it as uncharacterized. The record is from RefSeq and is a predicted model, not a curated record. Lineage: Eukaryota; Metazoa; Chordata; Actinopteri; Semionotiformes; Lepisosteidae.
UGACAAGCAGUAUCUCAUGUUGGAGGUCUUGUUCACCUGAUGUUGUAAAAUGAAGUUUAUACACCUAAACGUACGAGGAGAUCUGCAGACAAGAGGUAGAAGAGAAAGCCCAGAAACGGCUCUGGUUGGACAUCGGUGCUGAGGCCACUGGACCUCUUGACUUCUGGAUCUUUUCCAUGCACACUUCCUGAGGAAGGAAUCCCUGUGGACAAACCUGCAGCACCAGCAAAACAAAAGGACCAAGACUAAAGCCAGGGGCAGGAGAACAAAGAGGGCCGUCAGCCGGUGGGACCUGCACACCUCUGUA